RNAcentral lists this ribosomal RNA (301 nucleotides) under uncultured bacterium. Its description in RNAcentral is "partial 16S ribosomal RNA". It matches the Rfam family "Bacterial small subunit ribosomal RNA", at positions 509 to 807 of the family's 1533-position model. The record is from RNAcentral.
CAGUCGCCGCGGGAAUACAGAGGGUGCAAGCGUUAAUCGGAUUUACUGGGCGUAAAGGGCGCGUAGGUGGUUAUUUAAGUGAGAUGUGAAAGCCCCGGGCCUAACCUGGGAACUGCAUCUUAUACUGGGUAACUGGAGUGCAGUAGAGGGUAGUGGAAUUUCCGGUGUAGCGGUGAAAUGCGUAGAUAUCGGAAGGAACACCAGUGGCGAAGGCGGCUACCUGGACUGAGACUGACACUGAGGCGCGAGAGCGUGGGGAGCAAACAGGAUUAGAUACCCCCGUAGUCCCUGUCUCUUAUAC